AUGUACCGUACAACAAAGUACUUCUUCAAGUACUGUGCAUCUUUCUUAAUUGUCAAGUCUUCCUUGUCGCGUUAACUUUUCUUUGUACUGUACGUGCGACUUUGUUGAGUAGCCUUUCCCUUUAACAUGUUUUGGUAUCAGAGCCAGGUGCAAUGUACUGUACCGUACAACAAAUAUCCAAGUUGUAUCUUCAAGUACUGUGCAUCUUUCUUAAUUUUCAAGUCUUCCACAUUGAAUUUUCAGAAUACAUAACGACGCAACUGUAGACGUGUUAACUUUGGUAGCUGAAUUGAAUUGUUUCAUUUUCGAAUACUCAUUGACAUAAGAUGAU
Molecule: non-coding RNA, 331 nt
Organism: Paramuricea clavata
Lineage: Eukaryota; Metazoa; Cnidaria; Anthozoa; Malacalcyonacea; Plexauridae
Source: the annotation of a GenBank genome assembly